Long non-coding RNA from Canis lupus familiaris (dog), 3341 nucleotides. RefSeq lists it as uncharacterized. The record is from RefSeq and is a predicted model, not a curated record. The transcript is spliced from 4 exons. Lineage: Eukaryota; Metazoa; Chordata; Mammalia; Carnivora; Canidae.
CGCCCCCUGGGUCUGACCCGGGUUGUCUCGCGCUCGCGGACCUGGCAGGAUGUGCUUCAACAGGGGCACGUGGAAAGGUUUAGGUGGCCACCUUCCCUGCGUAAGACUGACUGGUAGCCGGCAGGAUGGGGAUUCAAACAUCACUAUUUCUUUGCGAGUUAACUCGUAUUUUCUCUCGACGAUAUUUUUAAACUCACAUUUUAUCCGAAAGGAAGUGUUGAUUGGACAAAAGUUCAACACUUUUGAAAUCUCCCGGGUGUUGUAGGAAGACAAAAUGGAGCUUGAGAUCAAAGCGAUCGAAUACAGGAGACGGCCCUAGCAAUGUUUAUCUGGUCAUGUUUCCACAAGAUUUGUACAAAAUGUUUUAAGCACCACUGGUUAAGAUCUUUACACUUAAACUCUUCAUUUAUGGUGAUGCUGCAGUGACCACAAACUACGUGAAAGGCUAGAAGAUCAGCAUCAGAGCAAGCACUUUUGGCCUCAGAAAUGGAAGCUACCUUCUGAGUACAGAACGGCUUACCUCUGGCCUGCAAUCUGGAAGAAAAGUAAAGCUGUUUAACACCUAAUACCUUCUUAGAAGUCACUGUUAACAGCACUUUAUAAACUGAAGCCUACUAUGUCCAGCAAAUAACUUAAGGUAAAUUACUGCCAGAAGUACUAGAACCACAGAGCAUCACAAUAAUGACAUUCUCUUUCUCUACUUGAACAUACCCUGGGUUGAACUUCUUUCAGCAUUGCACUAGCAUCUUCAUCAUAAUCCAGUUUACAAGCAAGGGCAAGAUCAUGUGCUGCUUCCUCCCAAUGACCCAGAAGUCUGAAACAGAUUAAAUUCAUUUUAGGGGCCUUUUAUACAUAUCAACUAAUGUGGUGGUGUCUUUCUUUCUUUUUUUAAGACGACUUUAUUUAUUCAUGAGAGACACACACACAGAGAGAGGCAGAGACACAGGCAGAGGGAGAAGCAGACUCCAUGCAGGGAGCCCGGUGUGGGACUCGGCCACGGGACUCCAGGAUCAUGCCCUGAACCAAGGGCAGAUGCUAAACCACUGAGCCACCCAGGGAUCCCCAAAACAUAAAACUUUUAAAAAAAUUAUAUAGAGCUACAAUUGUCAACAAUUUCAACUCCUUAAAAACAGGAUUAACAUAAUAUACACUUAGCAUGCUAUAAGGCAGAAAACAAUACAUGUGUGCACAUUUUAUUAAAAGAAAGACGAUAAAUCAGAAACUGAAGGCUGGUGGGAUAAGGUAAGAAUGGACUAGAGGGGACCACAAUGGAAAUGAGACUUCCCUGGUACACCUGUCAACUCAGUUUUGACUCCUUAAAUAUGCAAAUAUUUUAUAUAUGUGAAGAAAAUUAACCAGAAAAGACUGGAAUAAAAAAAGGUUGUUUACCACACAGAGCAUAAACCAUACAGGAAAAAAAGGAACAUACACAUACAUGCAUUUAUUUAUGGUGUAUGUAUGUAUGUAUUUAUUUAGUGUGUGUGCAGGUAGGAAAACAGGGGGAAGGGAAGAGGGAGAAGAAGAAUCUGAAGCAGACUCUCUCCCACGACGCGAAGAUCACGACUGAACCGAAAUCACCCAAGCUCUCCAAAAGUCAGGUAAUUUUUAAAACAGUAUUUUUGGGACGCCUGGGUGGCUCAGCGCUUGAGCAUCUGCCUUCAGCUCAGGUCAUGGCAUGAUCCCAGGGUCCGGGGAUAGAGUCCCGCAUCUGGCUCCCUGUCAGGAGCCUGCUUCUCUCAUGAAAAAAUAAAUUAAAAAUUUUAAAAAACAGCAACAAUAUUUUGACUGUGUAUCUUAAGUGGAAUAUACUCUAAGGAUAAAAGCUGCAACAUACAAAACACAACAUAUAAAACUUUACUUAGAAUAUUAUUUCAAAAUAGGAUUAUAAUACUUAGAAUAUUAUUUCAAAAUAGGAUUAUAAAACAAUCUUAUGUUAUCAUACAGUAACACAAGUAAAUAUAUUAUGAGUAAAGAUUUUGAGUCUAGAAUAGUGUUAAAAAAUGCAAAAUAGCGGCACCCUGGGCAGCUCAGCGGUUUAGCACCACCUUCAGCCCGGGGCAUGAUUCUGGAGACAGAGGAUCAAGUCCCACGUCGAGCUCUCUAUAUGGAGCCUGCUUCUCACUCUGUGUCUCUGACUCUGUGUUUCCCAUGAAUAAAUAAAUAAAAUCUUAAAAAAAAAAAAGCAAAAUAAAAGGAAAAAUAUUUAAUAUUGAAUUUUAAUUGGAAAACCCCAAAUUUCCACUUUUUCCCUUAAAAUCAUUGUUUAAAAGAUGUUUUUUCUAGGGCAUCUGGGUGGCUCAGUUGGGGAAGUGUCUGCUUUUGGCUCAGGUCCUAAUCCCAAGAUCUUGAUAUUGGGCCAGAGUCCAGUUCCCUGCCCAGUAGGGAGUCUGCUUUUCCCUCUCCCUCUGCUCAUACCCAUUAGCACGCUCUCUCACAAAUAAAUAAAAUGUGUUUUUUCUAACUCGGUUCACUGUAAUGACAUAAGUAAUGGUAUCCCGGAGGAACGAACACACCUAGGGCUAAACUUUAUUUUCUAUAAAUAUAAUCCUCACAAAAUGAACCUGGUUUCUUAGAGAAAUGGUUAAUUCUGAAUCUGGGAGAAGCAAAACACAAGAUGAGCUCAUCUACCUUGUACUGGAAGGCAAAGAAAUAAAAAAAUUAAAGGAAAGAAGGAAAGGGGGGCAGGCAAAGAAAAUGCAAUCAAAGAUAACCACAGUCUCUGGAUGAUCAAUAGCAAUGCAUAAGCUUUCUGACACCCAGAGCAUUAAUACAUCUUAUCCUAACCUUUUUCCUCUACCUUUGACAUGCGUCUUCAUAAUCAUUAGAGCUCCUUUUUUGAGUAACUUAAUACAGCUGUCCCAAGCAUAUCCAUCUCAUUUCCAUCCACACUUGAAGGGCAGUUCCUUUCCAAUCCAUGUAACAUGUAAAUGUCACUGGAAAUCUCAUCCUCAAGCCACCAAUACUCACUUGUAUAACAUUUUCAUUUCCAGAAAUAAUGUCUAAUCUAGGAUAAAUUCACCUCUUUAUUGUCUUCUUUUCCUGUGUUUUCAGGUGAUCUACCUAACAGCAACUAAAGUAGUUUAAGACUAAGGAAUUUGGGGAUCCCUGGGUGGUGCAGUGGUUUAGCGCCUGCCUUUGGCCCAGGGCGCGAUCCUGGAGACCCGGGAUCGAAUCCCACAUCAGGCUCCCGGUGCAUGGAGCCUGCUUCUCCCUCUGCCUGUGUCUCUGCCUCUCUCUCUCUCUGUGUGACUAUCAUAAAUAAAUAAAUAAAUAAACAAACAAACAGACCGACAGACUAAGGAAUUUCUUCUUCUAGAACAUAUUCUUUAAUGUUAGGUUAC